This 288-nucleotide unclassified non-coding RNA is filed under the name Zea mays. RNAcentral's name for it is "misc RNA Zm00001eb339880". Lineage: Eukaryota; Viridiplantae; Streptophyta; Magnoliopsida; Poales; Poaceae. The record is from RNAcentral.
CUGGAACAGCCGCGCGCGAGUCGGAGCUCCACGGCCGCGCGCCUCGAGCACGCGGAAGCGGCGCUCGUCGGCCGCGUGCCUCGUCGGGCCGCGCGUCUCAAGCAUGCGGAGGCGGCGCUCGUCGACCGCGCGUCUCGACGACGCGGGAACAGCCACGCGCGAAGCGGACCUCGACGACGCGGAGCCGGCUCUACUUCGGCUUCAACUCCGACGACGAUGGCGUGCUCCCCUCCCCUCCGAGCUCGCGACGAGGAGGCCGAUCUGGCGAAAGUUCCCACACUGCCGUGA